Molecule: ribosomal RNA, 120 nt
Filed under: uncultured bacterium
Lineage: Bacteria
Description: partial 16S ribosomal RNA
Rfam family: Bacterial small subunit ribosomal RNA
Source: RNAcentral
CACACCGUAAACGAUGGAUACUAGGUGUCGGGGACUUGAUCUUCGGUGCCGUAGCUAACGCGUUAAGUAUCCCGCCUGGGGAGUACGGUCGCAAGGCUGAAACUCAAAGAAAUUGACGGG